Molecule: ribosomal RNA, 459 nt
Filed under: uncultured bacterium
Lineage: Bacteria
Description: partial 16S ribosomal RNA
Rfam family: Bacterial small subunit ribosomal RNA
Source: RNAcentral
CCUACGGGAGGCAGCAGUGAGGAAUAUUGGUCAAUGGCCGAGAGGCUGAACCAGCCAAGUCGCGUGAGGGAAGACGGCCCUACGGGUUGUAAACCUCUUUUGUCGGGGAGCAAAGCGUACCACGUGUGAUUCAUUGAGAGUACCCGAAGAAAAAGCAUCGGCUAACUCCGUCCCAGCAGCCGCGGUAAUACGGAGGAUGCGAGCGUUAUCCGGAUCUAUUGGGUGUAAAGGGUGCGCAGGCGGAGGUGCAAGUCAGCGGUGAAAUUGUGGGGCUCAACCCCGUACUGCCGUUGAAACUGCAAGCCGUGAGUGGACGAGAAGGAUGCGGAAUGCGAGGUGUAGCGGUGAAAUGCAUAGAUAUCACGAAGAACUCCGAUGGCGAAGGCAGCAUACCGGCGCGCAACUGACGCUCAUGCACGAAAGCGUGGGUAUCGAACAGGAUUAGAUACCCGAGUAGUC